AAUUUACAAUUGUUAAUUUUUUUAAAUAAUCUAGGUGAUUUAGAUUUCUCUGUUACGGGAAUGAGAUUGUUUCUGCAUUACAUUAAUGAAGAAUUAUUAUUAUUAUUUUCAUUGUGGUAAUAAGAAUUGGGGGAAGGAAUAUUUAUGCAAAAUAGAACUUUUUAUUUAUUUUGUGGUGAAAUAUGAUCUGGUCAUUUCUUCAUAAGAUUCAUCCAGCACUAAUACACAUUUUGGAUAUAGAAUGUAACCGUUACAAAAAAAGCUCAACAUUUAUCUACGUAAUAAAUAUUUUCACUCAUUUUUGCCUCUCAAACUGAUCUCAGACGGUUUAGGAUUUGUGUGUUUAGACUUGCCCAUGUUGAAUUAUGAGGUUUGCGUUCAUGGUCGGUCUGUCAGUGUGUGUGUGUGUGUGUGUGUGUGUGUGACUGUUUUUCAUUUUCAGCACCUGUAAAUCAUGUGCUCUCAUAUUAUUUCAAUGUAAAUCACUAAUAACAAUGGUUCAUUACUUGACACUAAAGUAUAUGUGAGUGUAUAUUUGCACACAUGAGGUCAUAAAUAUAAAUGUAUGUAAGAGCAAAACGCUUGUUUUUUUUGUUUUUUUUAAGUCAUUUACCAAUUUACAGACUACUUAAUUGCCAUUUGGACAAUGUAUUUCCAUUGAAUGAAUUGUGUAAUCAAAUACGCAAGUUAUGAACUUGAGGGAUAGAUUUAGAUUUGGUCUGCAUUGUUGCUCACUGAAACGAACACUGCUUUUUGUAUAAAGGAAUAUGAUUUUUUUUUCUGACUGGAAAAAAGCCCAAACUAAAUGACAAUCAGGCAUUUUGUACAAAGAUAAAGAUGUUUUUGCACAACAAAAGCACAUUAGACCUACUGUGUUGGGCUGAAAUACAAAGACACAAUGUGAAGUCAGCCAGCAGAUCCCUAUUUCU
This is a long non-coding RNA of Sinocyclocheilus rhinocerous, 929 nucleotides long. RefSeq lists it as uncharacterized. NCBI's taxonomy places the organism in Eukaryota, Metazoa, Chordata, Actinopteri, Cypriniformes, Cyprinidae. The transcript has 2 exons. The record is from RefSeq and is a predicted model, not a curated record.